GCCGGGGUGACAGAGCGGUAAUGUGCCGGUCUCGAAAACCGGUGGUGCUUGGCGCCACAAGGGUUCAAAUCCCUUCCCCGGCGCCA
RNAcentral lists this transfer RNA (86 nucleotides) under Candidatus Bathyarchaeota archaeon. RNAcentral describes it as "tRNA-Ser". It matches the Rfam family "tRNA". From Rfam's summary of the family: Transfer RNA (tRNA) molecules are approximately 80 nucleotides in length. Their secondary structure includes four short double-helical elements and three loops (D, anti-codon, and T loops). The record is from RNAcentral. RNAcentral also lists the same sequence under 1 other name. Lineage: Archaea; Thermoproteati; Candidatus Bathyarchaeota.